Molecule: ribosomal RNA, 2038 nt
Filed under: Salmonella enterica
Lineage: Bacteria; Pseudomonadati; Pseudomonadota; Gammaproteobacteria; Enterobacterales; Enterobacteriaceae
Also listed under: 2 other names
Description: partial 23S ribosomal RNA
Rfam family: Bacterial large subunit ribosomal RNA
Source: RNAcentral
AGACCCGAAACCCGGUGAUCUAGCCAUGGGCAGGUUGAAGGUUGGGUAACACUAACUGGAGGACCGAACCGACUAAUGUUGAAAAAUUAGCGGAUGACCUGUGGCUGGGGGUGAAAGGCCAAUCAAACCGGGAGAUAGCUGGUUCUCCCCGAAAGCUAUUUAGGUAGCGCCUCGUGAAUUCAUCUCCGGGGGUAGAGCACUGUUUCGGCUAGGGGGCCAUCCCGGCUUACCAACCCGAUGCAAACUGCGAAUACCGGAGAAUGUUAUCACGGGAGACACACGGCGGGUGCUAACGUCCGUCGUGAAGAGGGAAACAACCCAGACCGCCAGCUAAGGUCCCAAAGUCAUGGUUAAGUGGGAAACGAUGUGGGAAGGCCCAGACAGCCAGGAUGUUGGCUUAGAAGCAGCCAUCAUUUAAAGAAAGCGUAAUAGCUCACUGGUCGAGUCGGCCUGCGCGGAAGAUGUAACGGGGCUAAACCAUGCACCGAAGCUGCGGCAGCGACACUGUGUGUUGUUGGGUAGGGGAGCGUUCUGUAAGCCUGUGAAGGUGUGUCGUGAGGCAUGCUGGAGGUAUCAGAAGUGCGAAUGCUGACAUAAGUAACGAUAAAGCGGGUGAAAAGCCCGCUCGCCGGAAGACCAAGGGUUCCUGUCCAACGUUAAUCGGGGCAGGGUGAGUCGACCCCUAAGGCGAGGCCGAAAGGCGUAGUCGAUGGGAAACGGGUUAAUAUUCCCGUACUUGGUGUUACUGCGAAGGGGGGACGGAGAAGGCUAUGUUGGCCGGGCGACGGUUGUCCCGGUUUAAGCGUGUAGGUGUGUGUUCCAGGUAAAUCCGGUUCACUUUAACACUGAGGCGUGACGACGAGGCACUACGGUGCUGAAGCAACAAAUGCCCUGCUUCCAGGAAAAGCCUCUAAGCAUCAGGUAACAUCAAAUCGUACCCCAAACCGACACAGGUGGUCAGGUAGAGAAUACCAAGGCGCUUGAGAGAACUCGGGUGAAGGAACUAGGCAAAAUGGUGCCGUAACUUCGGGAGAAGGCACGCUGACACGUAGGUGAAGUGAUUUACUCAUGGAGCUGAAGUCAGUCGAAGAUACCAGCUGGCUGCAACUGUUUAUUAAAAACACAGCACUGUGCAAACACGAAAGUGGACGUAUACGGUGUGACGCCUGCCCGGUGCCGGAAGGUUAAUUGAUGGGGUCAGCGCAAGCGAAGCUCCUGAUCGAAGCCCCGGUAAACGGCGGCCGUAACUAUAACGGUCCUAAGGUAGCGAAAUUCCUUGUCGGGUAAGUUCCGACCUGCACGAAUGGCGUAAUGAUGGCCAGGCUGUCUCCACCCGAGACUCAGUGAAAUUGAACUCGCUGUGAAGAUGCAGUGUACCCGCGGCAAGACGGAAAGACCCCGUGAACCUUUACUAUAGCUUGACACUGAACAUUGAGCCUUGAUGUGUAGGAUAGGUGGGAGGCUUUGAAGCGUGGACGCCAGUCUGCGUGGAGCCGACCUUGAAAUACCACCCUUUAAUGUUUGAUGUUCUAACGUGGACCCGUGAUCCGGGUUGCGGACAGUGUCUGGUGGGUAGUUUGACUGGGGCGGUCUCCUCCUAAAGAGUAACGGAGGAGCACGAAGGUUGGCUAAUCCUGGUCGGACAUCAGGAGGUUAGUGCAAUGGCAUAAGCCAGCUUGACUGCGAGCGUGACGGCGCGAGCAGGUGCGAAAGCAGGUCAUAGUGAUCCGGUGGUUCUGAAUGGAAGGGCCAUCGCUCAACGGAUAAAAGGUACUCCGGGGAUAACAGGCUGAUACCGCCCAAGAGUUCAUAUCGACGGCGGUGUUUGGCACCUCGAUGUCGGCUCAUCACAUCCUGGGGCUGAAGUAGGUCCCAAGGGUAUGGCUGUUCGCCAUUUAAAGUGGUACGCGAGCUGGGUUUAGAACGUCGUGAGACAGUUCGGUCCCUAUCUGCCGUGGGCGCUGGAGAACUGAGGGGGGCUGCUCCUAGUACGAGAGGACCGGAGUGGACGCAUCACUGGUGUUCGGGUUGUCAUGCC